UAUCGAUUUGGUUUAGAAAGGAAAAAAAAUUGAGAAACAUAGUUCAAUAAAAAUUGAACAUUUCCAACUAAGUUUAUUUCUAAAUGAAAUAAACGAAGCGGAUAGUGUACUAUCUAUCUCUCAAAAUUUCUAUAAUAAUUAUAAAAAUAAAGAUUGAACAUGAGGUGAAUUGGGCUUUUGGUAUGAAUUUUAGAAUUUAAAGUGGGAAAAGAAUAAGAAUUUUAGAAAUUGUUUAGAUUUGGAAAGCUCGAAGCGCGAGUGUAGUACAUAUAGGCAAGUACUUUUAAUUUUAGUUGAAAAUUUUUGAGAGUUAUAUAUAAAUAUAUAUAUAUUGGACAUCGUAAUUGUGAGUUACUAUUUCAGACAAUCUAUUUUGAAUCGAAGUUUUAAUUUAUAAAUUAGCAUAUUUAUUUCUACUACGUACGAACUAUUAAGUUUCAAUUAUUAAAUUUUGGCAUGUUCCAAAAAUGGAGUGUCUAGUUUUUCAACAAAUUUCGAAUUCAAUUGUCAACGGAGAAUCUAUGCUAGUGGGGGCACUCUUUUUUGGAUUUACUGGGAAAUUACUAAAUCACUAAUGAAGGACGAGAAAGUAUUCUUGAGGAUUCAUUAGAACUCUCAGCCAAUCUUUUACCAAUAUUAAUCGUAUGUAUUAUAACUUUUAAUUUAAUUAAAGUAAAAUUAUUUAUAAAUUAAGAAUGCGAGAGUUAAAAAAAUGUGAUUAAGAACAUUGAAGCGGGGUGCUGUUAAAAUAGCAAAUAGUUGGGAGGUGUCUCCAUGCAUUUUUUUUUUUUUCUACCUUAAUAUUGGUGAUCCGGUGGACACGUGGCGGCUGCAUGUGGCGCGCACAUGGGUGCGGACGAGGACAAUCGGUGAAAAAGUUAGUCGGGCAUUAAUUAUAGGAUUUUUUUUCCUUUUUAAGGGGUUUAAUUAAUGGGAUUAUUUCAUACCUAUCAUUGCAAAUAUAAUGAAUAAAAAAUAUAUUUUUAAUAAUUUUAAUUUUUAUAUAUUAUUUUUAUAAAUAUUUUAAUAUUUUUAAAUAUAUCUCUUUCACUUGUUACCCUUAUAUAAACUAUUUAUAUUUUAAGUAAAAGAUUAUUUUUAUCAUCAUAAAUAUAUUCCUCCGAUAGCCACAAUAGUAUAAUAUAAAAAUGGUCAAAAUAUCGAGUUAUCUUACAAAGUAAUCAGAAUUAAGUAUUUAAUUUAUCAUUAAAUAAAAUUUUCUAACGGAUUUUAACGGCAGAGAUAUAUUUAAAAAUAUUAGAACUUUUAUAGAAAUAAUAUAUGAAAGUUAAAUUUUAUAACAAUAUAUUUAUAAUUUAUUAUAUUUGUAGGGACCAUAAUUAGCUAAUUCGGAUUCGGCAAAAAUUCGGUACGGAUAUAAUACGUAUAAAAUUCGGUUUAAAAAACGGAUUCGGUAUGAAAUAUAAAAUAUAAGAUAAUUUAUAUUUAAAUAUAAAAAUUAUAUAUUUUUUAUUUAUAUUUUCAAUAAUUCGCGAAUAAUUCGUGAAUUAUUCGGCUAGCCCAAAAUUCGUGAAUAAUUUUUUAUUUUUAGAAAAAAUUCGUAAACGAAUCGUUUAAUUCAAAUUUUUAAUAAUUCGCGAAUUAACUAACAGGAACGUGUAUAAAAUUAACCAUUAAUUCUUAAGAAGAGAGACUUUGGAGUUAGUCGCAGCGAUUCUCGUUUGCUUAAUUAGUCAGUUGUGGGCUUUUUUCGCUUUUUUCUUAAAUUUUUUUCUGCAGCUUUUAUCCAUAGAGCUUCUACGAGAAAUAUA
RNAcentral lists this long non-coding RNA (1772 nucleotides) under Ananas comosus (pineapple). RNAcentral describes it as "long non-coding RNA (ACOM_LNC008075)". Lineage: Eukaryota; Viridiplantae; Streptophyta; Magnoliopsida; Poales; Bromeliaceae. The record is from RNAcentral.